This 301-nucleotide ribosomal RNA is filed under the name uncultured bacterium. RNAcentral describes it as "partial 16S ribosomal RNA". It matches the Rfam family "Bacterial small subunit ribosomal RNA", at positions 509 to 807 of the family's 1533-position model. The record is from RNAcentral.
CAGCAGCCGCGGUAAUACGAAGGGUGCAAGCGUUACUCGGAAUUACUGGGCGUAAAGCGUGCGUAGGUGGUGGUUUAAGUCCGUUGUGAAAGCCCUGGGCUCAACCUGGGAAUUGCAGUGGAUACUGGAUCACUAGAGUGUGGUAGAGGAUAGUGGAAUUUCCGGUGUAGCAGUGAAAUGCGUAGAGAUCGGAAGGAACAUCUGUGGCGAAGGCGACUAUCUGGGCCAACACUGACACUGAGGCGCGAAAGCGUGGGGGGCAAACAGGAUUAGAUACCCGGGUAGUCCCUGUCUCUUAUAC